CUUGGCGACCAUAGCGUUGUGGACCCACCUGAUCCCAUGCCGAACUCAGAAGUGAAACGCAACAGCGCCGAUGGUAGUGUGGGGCUUCCCCAUGUGAGAGUAGGACAUCGCCAGGC
Molecule: ribosomal RNA, 116 nt
Filed under: Vibrio natriegens
Lineage: Bacteria; Pseudomonadati; Pseudomonadota; Gammaproteobacteria; Vibrionales; Vibrionaceae
Source: RNAcentral